UACGGAGGGGGCUAGCGUUGUUCGGAAUUACUGGGCGUAAAGCGCGCGUAGGCGGACCUGCAAGUCGGGGGUGAAAGCCCGAGGCUCAACCUCGGAACUGCCUUCGAUACUGCGGGUCUCGAGUCCGGGAGAGGUGAGUGGAAUUCCUAGUGUAGAGGUGAAAUGCGCAGAUAUCGGGAAGAACACCCGUGGCGAAGGCGGUUCUCUGGGACGGUACUGACGCUGAGACGCGAAAGCGUGGGGAGCAAACAGG
RNAcentral lists this ribosomal RNA (253 nucleotides) under uncultured bacterium. Its description in RNAcentral is "partial 16S ribosomal RNA". It matches the Rfam family "Bacterial small subunit ribosomal RNA", at positions 524 to 776 of the family's 1533-position model. The record is from RNAcentral.